GUGCUCACUUAGGCAGCACAUAUACUAAAAUUAGAACGAUACAGACAAGAUUAGCAUGGCCCCAGCACAAGCAUAACACGCAAAUUCUUGAAGCAGUCCAUAUUUUU
Molecule: small nuclear RNA, 107 nt
Organism: Pongo abelii (Sumatran orangutan)
Lineage: Eukaryota; Metazoa; Chordata; Mammalia; Primates; Hominidae
Source: Ensembl